ACAUGCAAGUCGAGCGAAGAGAUGGGAGCUUGCUCCCUGAUCUUAGCGGCGGACGGGUGAGUAACACGUGGGCAACCUGCCCUGCAGACUGGGAUAACUCCGGGAAACCGGAGCUAAUACCGGGUAAUACAUCGCACCGCAUGGUGCAAUGUUGAAAGUUGGCUUUCUGAGCUAACACUGCAGGAUGGGCCCGCGGCGCAUUAGCUAGUUGGUAAGGUAAUGGCUUACCAAGGCGACGAUGCGUAGCCGACCUGAGAGGGUGAUCGGCCACACUGGGACUGAGACACGGCCCAGACUCCUACGGGAGGCAGCAGUAGGGAAUCUUCCGCAAUGGACGAAAGUCUGACGGAGCAACGCCGCGUGAGUGACGAAGGCCUUCGGGUCGUAAAGCUCUGUUGUUAGGGAAGAACAAGUACCGUUCGAAUAGGGCGGUACCUUGACGGUACCUAACCAGAAAGCCACGGCUAACUACGUGCCAGCAGCCGCGGUAAUACGUAGGUGGCAAGCGUUGUCCGGAAUUAUUGGGCGUAAAGCGCGCGCAGGCGG
RNAcentral lists this ribosomal RNA (546 nucleotides) under Bacillus sp. 5-8. RNAcentral's name for it is "bacterial SSU rRNA". It matches the Rfam family "Bacterial small subunit ribosomal RNA", at positions 53 to 578 of the family's 1533-position model. RNAcentral also lists the same sequence under 2 other names. The record is from RNAcentral. Lineage: Bacteria; Bacillati; Bacillota; Bacilli; Caryophanales; Bacillaceae.